CCCGCGCCCCGCGCCCCGCGCCCCGCGCCCCGCGCCCGCUGCACUUCGCACCACCCACGCGCACCGUACGUUCGCUUCUCUAUUCUCGACCUUGAUGUUUAGACGGUGCUAUUUCAUUUUUACCCAUGUUCACAAUUUUAACGUUUCGCGAUGGAUUUCUAUAAUUACGUUAUUUCCGACUAUCAAUAUAUUAUUUGUGAUAUUUUACUAUUAUUACAAGUUUACAAAUAUUUGUCUGCUACUUAUGUAAUGUUAGUUAGGGUUCCGUACCAAAAACCUAUUGGUACAACUAAGUAUAAUCUAUCACUAACAAUUAAAACAAAUAAAUAAAAUCCCGCAUUUACCGACUACAACACCUAAAAUUAUUAGUAAAAAAAACUUUCUUCUACAAAACUUCUAAUAAAAUGUAUGCUUGAAAGUUUAUAAACCCUAAUUCAAACUUUACUUAAGACCCACUUCCUUUGAUUGAGUUGUAUGUAAAUAAUUAUGAUAUACAAUGUUUCUUAAUAAAUACUAUUUACAGCAUAUAGCGAUGACUACAAAGUACGGAAUCCUAACCGAGCGAGUGUAACUCGUAAGAAUAUGUUUUACUUUAAUUUAGAACCUUAUUUUUAACUGCAUUUUUUAAAUACUUUCAUUUGUUAAUUAAUGUAAUGACGUUAUACAUAUAUAUAUAUCAAAUUAAGGUACAAAGAAAAGUAUUUAUUUUAUUUAGCUAGUUUCACUGAAAACGUACGAUUUUAAUUUAUUAUUGAUUAUACCGAUAAAUCUGUUCGUAAAUCCAGUGAUAUGCCGCACUUGUACAGUACUUGAUGUCGCUAAUCGCUAUCCGAAUUAAUAAAAAUAUGAAUCUCAGGAUUAUUACUUUUAAGUAAAUAACAGAAGAGAGAACAUUAAAGCGGUUAACAUGUCAAAUUGUUACUAAUAUUGUGCAGAAUACAUAUACAUUAAAUUUACUGGCUCAUUUCAAAUUGUAAAAGAAUAUAGUGUAAUAAUCGUGUUACAAUGAAUGUCAUAAUAUUGGAAUACAUAAUUUAUUUUAGAACUGUUACUUUAGAGUUGAAUGUGUUAAAUAAUAUUUAGACGUAAUCUUAAUGUAUAUUUUUUAUAUGUUUAUUUAAAAAGUAUUAUGAAACAUACAGAAAUUGAAAUGUUUGUAUAUUUAAGUCGCGGGCCGCACCAAUGGCAAUGGCACCUCAUCCGCUACUUAGAGCCACAACUCACUGAAUGGAACUUUCUUUCGACAUAAAUAUGCUCUAAAUAUAAUAAAUUUAUCAAUUAAUGUUACGAUUGUUGUUACGAUAUUAAUGUAUUCCUCUUAAAUAAUUUACGCUUGCGUCCACUAGUGUUUUGUAAACAUACAUGCUUUUUACAAUGAUGUGACACGAAUUAGGUUUUUACCUAUUUUUUAAGAUAAUAUUAGAUGCAUUUCGAUGCUCAAAUUCAAUUCUGACUGACAAUCAAUAUCAUCAAUAUCAUUUGAAAGGUCUUUGCAAUAUAUUUGUGCUCAAAAUAUGUUUAUUCAAAUCUGUAACAUAUGAAUAUGUAAUAUAUUUGAGCAUUUGAUCUAAGGCAGCGACAUGAGCAACGUAACCUGUUCCAAUUUUGUAGUAGAAAUGCCGCAGUUUUACUCUAGACGCAAACACUUUUCUUGGAUUUCUUGGUCUGAAAUAACACAUGCCUACAAGGAAUGACUUUGUUUUUAAAACAUCAUAGUCACUUUUUUUUAUAUAGGAGUUUUUUUUAUUGGGAGUUUGCAACAUAUAAUUGAACUUAUUAAUUGUAAGAAGCAAAUAAUGUUGCUAGUCGAUGUAAGAAUACGACUUGGAAGUGUUCUUCCUUGUAGAUGUAGACUAUCGACAUCGCUACGACCUGUUAAAUUAUAUCACAUAUUCUCGAGCACCGUGCUGACAUUAAUGAAAUAAUGAAUUGAAUGAUAUUUAGCAUUAGAUUGUUUUAGUACAAGAUACUCGUAUUUUAUUAGAUGCAUAAUUAAAUGAUUGCAUUUCAUGAUACACUUCUGUGCUACGAUACAUAUUUUUACCAUGUUUUAUGUCGAAUACACGUUUACUUGGGCACACGUAAAUGAUCUAACUUUAUAUAUUACACUGUCUUUUAUUUAAAAUUAAUUGUGAAAAGGCGGCUAUUCAAUAUUGGAUUACGAAAUUAUGAUUUUAGAAACAAAAUUAUAUUUUUAUUACAUUAGUUACAAUAGUACUUAUUGUAAGUCAAUUAAUCCACUAUUGCAAAUAGUCGCCUUUAUAAUGUUUGAUAAAAUCUGUAUAUAACAUACAUUAAGGAAGAAUUGAGGGGUAAAAUGAGGUCUCUUUGUGUUGUCGAGUUGGUAGCCGCCGCCGCUGACAGAGAGCUAGGCUACUGACGCUAGACAAGGGGUGCCGAGAGUAUGAGGCGGUCGAUUGGUUUAUACUUUUUGUACCAUUGCUCUCGGAUUAUUAUUGUUAAUAUCUAAAUCUAAAUAGAUACAUAUGUAGAUUAUUUAUAAUUAGCACGACCUAGCUACAUUAUUGUAAUAAUAUUGAAGAAAUAGGAUACCUGCCUUUGUUAUAAUUGCUUAAUUCAUUUACAUGAAUAAGUUAUUGAUAUUAUGAUAAAAUCAUAAAAUCAGAAUGAAAAGUAAUAAUUUGUUUUCUUUUUAGUCUGGCAAACAAAAAGCAUAGAUGGAACCGAAAUGUAAAAUAAUGUUGGAUGUCGUAACUUAUUUAUCUGCUUGGCGUGAUAAUGCUGCUACACACAUGUGGAAUAGCAGCUCGGAGCGCACUCUCAGAGCUGCUACACACGUGUUCACAUGAUUUUAUAAUUUAAAGGCGCGGUUAGACGGUUAUGAAAGAAUACUAUUGGCGCAAUCAGAUAGAUGUUGUUAACAAUUAAGUUAUUAUGAUGGGUGUCAAGUAUUAUUAUUUAUUCUCACUAGUAGCUCGGCAAAAUGAAUAAUAAAAUACGGUCGAAUUGAUAACCUCCUCCUUUUUUUUAAGUCGGUUAAAAAAUCGCAGAUCAGUCCAUUUAAAUAAAUUAAUAUUAUAGGACAUUCUUACACAGAUUGACUAAGUCCCACGGUAAGCCCAAGGAGUCUUGUGUUAUGGGUACUCAGACAACGAUAUAUAUAAUAUACAAAUACUUAAAUACAUAGAAAACACCCAUGACUCAGGAACAAAUAUCUGUGCUCAUCACACAAAUAAAUGCCCUUACCGGGAUUCGAACCACCAUUUGUUGUCUGUAUAUGGAUUGUUGCUGUGGAAUUGCACACUAUACACUCAAAAAUGUAUAUAUCUCAUGGUAACGUUCAUUAAUUAAUACAGAAACAAGUAAUCGCAUCCAUCAGAUAAGGUAACUCAGACCAAGAUUUAAGUUUCAGUUAAGAGUUUAAAAGUUCGUAAAUUUUAUUAGGAUUUACAUUAUAUUUAUUUCAUAAAACAAUAAAAUAACAAUGUGGAAUAAGCUCGUCAAUUUGACCGAAUCAAUAUUUUUUCUUUAUUUACGUAAUUACACUUAAUACUUGUAGGCCACGGUGUUAGUGAUGCGGAAUUUAGCCUUAGCACUCCGCUUUUGUAUAAUAACUUGACGAAAUUUUAUUCGUACACGUAGGUACGUACUGCAGAAAACUACAAAUUGCCUACACGACACUGAUUUGGUCAACGCCGGUCCAUUAAUUUUGCAUAAACAAUGUCAGUUAAUCAAUCAUAAGUAUCAUAAUCAUCAAUAGUUAAGCUUUGCUUUAUUAGUGGAGAGUCAACGCAGCGAUUAACUAAAGAGUAGUAGCGUAAAACCACGUAAAAUUUACAGAAUAUACGUAUCAAUUCUAACAGUCUUCUAUCAGGAUUGCAAUAGGUGGUAUUAUAUAUGAAAUUUUAAUGGAUAACAUUUUACAUCGCAGCCUGAUAGCGAAAGAUCCGAGAUGUCGCGUCGAGCCCUAUCAUUUGAAAUUUGAGUAUGUUGUAGGUCACCGAGAGUGACGACGGCUGGAGUCAGUUCGCGGUUAGGCUGCCGUAUAAUAUUCAUCCAGUGUAAACUCUAAGCCCUUAUCACCUGUACGAAACAUUUCCUUGGAAACUUAUCAUCACAUACCGUGGGUCCUUAGAGCGUUUUCACAUUGCCAGAUCCGAUAUCGGAUGUAGGAUCCUACAUUCGAGUAAUCGAGGCGCCCGGGCGCCGUCUUUAGCGGUCACGCACACUACAAGCAUUAUGCCUACACAUACGCACACAAACAAAUAUUAUCGGUCCGACAGCUGACGAGGAGCUCCCGACAUGGCUGAAUUUAUCGGAAGCACCUUUCCGAUAUCGGGUGUCGGAAGGCGCCUAUGACAAAAACAACUGCAGGAGAGUGCCAUUGGCAUUAAGUUCGCCUUUUUGCGUUAUUUAUCGUUUUUUUAGUAAUAAUGAUUUAUUAAACGCAUAAAUAAAUACAAGGAAACACAUAUCUUACAUUUUACUUCCUUCCGACAUCCAAUAUCGGAUCGGACAAUGUGAAAACGCUCUUAGGGAUCCAUAGAUUUAUUUAAUAUCAACAGGACGUUUGCUUGUUGCUACAAUUAUUCUGUACGAUUAAAUGAUUUUAUAAUAA
Molecule: long non-coding RNA, 4579 nt
Organism: Cydia strobilella
Lineage: Eukaryota; Metazoa; Arthropoda; Insecta; Lepidoptera; Tortricidae
Exons: 2
Source: RefSeq, a predicted model, not a curated record